UACGUAGGGUGCAAGCGUUAAUCGGAAUUACUGGGCGUAAAGCGUGCGCAGGCGGUUAUGCAAGACAGAUGUGAAAUCCCCGGGCUUAACCUGGGAACUGCAUUUGUGACUGCAUAGCUAGAGUACGGUAGAGGGGGAUGGAAUUCCGCGUGUAGCAGUGAAAUGCGUAGAUAUGCGGAGGAACACCGAUGGCGAAGGCAGUCCCCUGGACCUGUACUGACGCUCAUGCACGAAAGCGUGGGGAGCAAACGGG
This 253-nucleotide ribosomal RNA is filed under the name uncultured bacterium. RNAcentral describes it as "partial 16S ribosomal RNA". It matches the Rfam family "Bacterial small subunit ribosomal RNA", at positions 524 to 776 of the family's 1533-position model. The record is from RNAcentral.